RNAcentral lists this ribosomal RNA (254 nucleotides) under uncultured bacterium. RNAcentral's name for it is "partial 16S ribosomal RNA". It matches the Rfam family "Bacterial small subunit ribosomal RNA", at positions 524 to 777 of the family's 1533-position model. The record is from RNAcentral.
UACGAAGGGGGCUAGCGUUGUUCGGAAUUACUGGGCGUAAAGCGCGCGCAGGCGGCUUUCCAAGUCAGUGGUGAAAGCCCGGAGCUCAACUCCGGAAUUGCCUUUAAGACUGCAUCGCUAGAAUCAUGGAGAGGUGAGUGGAAUUCCGAGUGUAGAGGUGAAAUUCGUAGAUAUUCGGAAGAACACCAGUGGCGAAGGCGACUCACUGGACAUGUAUUGACGCUGAGGUGCGAAAGCGUGGGGAGCAAACAGGG